GUGAGAUGUUGGGUUAWGUCCCGCAACGAGCGCAACCCUUGUCCYUAGUUACCAGCGGGUUAAGCCGGGAACUCUAAGGAUACUGCCAGUGACAAACUGGAGGAAGGCGGGGACGACGUCAAGUCAUCAUGGCCCUUACGACCAGGGCUACACACGUGCUACAAUGGUAGGUACAGAGGGCAGCUACACAGCGAUGUGAUGCGAAUCUCAAAAAGCCUAUCGUAGUCCAGAUUGGAGUCUGCAACUCGACUCCAUGAAGUAGGAAUCGCUAGUAAUCGCGGAUCAGAAUGCCGCGGUGAAUACGUUCCCGGGCCUUGUACACACCGCCCGUCACACCAUGGGAGUUGAUUGCACCAGAAGUGGAUAGCCUAACC
Molecule: ribosomal RNA, 374 nt
Filed under: Psychrobacter sp.
Lineage: Bacteria; Pseudomonadati; Pseudomonadota; Gammaproteobacteria; Moraxellales; Moraxellaceae
Description: bacterial SSU rRNA
Source: RNAcentral